UACAGAGGUGGCAAGCGUUGUUCGGAAUUACUGGGCGUAAAGGGCGCGUAGGCGGCCUUCUAAGUCAGACGUGAAAUCCCCCGGCUUAACCUGGGAACUGCGUCUGAUACUGGAAGGCUUGAGGAUGGGAGAGGGAUGUAGAAUUCCAGGUGUAGCGGUGAAAUGCGUAGAUAUCUGGAGGAAUACCGGUGGCGAAGGCGGCAUCCUGGACCAUUACUGACGCUGAGGCGCGAAAGCUAGGGGAGCAAACGGG
Molecule: ribosomal RNA, 253 nt
Filed under: uncultured bacterium
Lineage: Bacteria
Description: partial 16S ribosomal RNA
Rfam family: Bacterial small subunit ribosomal RNA
Source: RNAcentral